GUGAACGACCCUUUCGGGGAGCUUUACACAGGGUUGCUGCAUUGGCUGUCGUCAGCUCGUGUCGUGAGAUGUUCGGUUAAGUCCGCUAACGAGCGCAACCCUCACUGUGUGUUAUACGUGUCACACGGGACUGCCGGUUUUUAAGCCGGAGGAAGCGAGGAUGACGUCAAGUCAGCAUGGCCUUUAUAUCCUGGGCUACACACACGCUACAAUGGUCUGUACAACAGGUUGCCAAACCGCGAGGUGGAGCCAAUCCCUAAAACAGGCCUCAGUUCAGAUUGCAGGCUGCAACCCGCCUGCAUGAAGCCGGAGUUGCUAGUAACCGCAGGUCAGCUAUACUGCGGUGAAUACGUUCCCGGGUCUU
Molecule: ribosomal RNA, 364 nt
Filed under: uncultured Anaerolineaceae bacterium
Lineage: Bacteria; Bacillati; Chloroflexota; Anaerolineae; Anaerolineales; Anaerolineaceae
Description: bacterial SSU rRNA
Rfam family: Bacterial small subunit ribosomal RNA
Source: RNAcentral